Molecule: long non-coding RNA, 2147 nt
Organism: Bos taurus (domestic cattle)
Lineage: Eukaryota; Metazoa; Chordata; Mammalia; Artiodactyla; Bovidae
Source: Ensembl
UGGAUCAUUCUAAUGUGUGAGAACCAGGGCAAGGAAGUGAAAAUCUCAUAUUCUUUGGGAGAGUGAUGUUAGAUGGGCUGAUGAUACCACCGAGGCAGGGGAGGCCAGGGGACACUGCCAAGGGCAGUGGGGGCUUUUGCUGUGAUUCAUAUUUCAGACUCCUGGAGGGGGUUCCCUCACAAACAGUCCCUGCCCAAGUCUGGCAAGCAGUCAUAGUAAGAUAAACUCUGCUGCACAACAAGGUCAGGCAGGGUGGUAAGGGGGAGGGGUGGCAGUGCACAGUUGCAGGGUUUCAACUUUCUGAGCUGUUCUACCCUGGGUGAUAUGAACAAGACCCAGAAGUUCCCACACACACUCAAGAUGAGACUCAGGAACUCAAUGAACUGACAGCAGAAGCACUGUCAUGGUGCCCAUUGUUCAAGAGCCAAGGUGACUGGCAGCCUCUGCUACAACACGUCCAGGCCGAGGGACAAAUGGAACUCAGAGCAGAGCCUAAGAGGGGCCCACAGUGCCAGCAAGAGCUGGGAUGAGGUUUUGGCAGCCAGGAAAGGCUUCUGUAUCCUGAGCUAGUCAAGAGAGGCCAACCUACUGGCCUUUGCAGCCACCAACAUCGUCUGCAAAGGCCAGUAGGACAAGCAGCAACCAGGCUGAUAAGCAGUGUUGCUGAGACCAGAGGUGCCAGGGGACACUGCUCCAAUCCAAGCAACCCUCCCAUUCACGUCAGCACCUCACGGUCACCUCGCCAGGGCUGAUAGUCAUGGUCUCCAUCAGCAGGGCUGGACUGAUUACUGGCGGUCAGCAUCCAUUCUGAUUGGUGUCUGCCUGUGAGAAAUCAGGAAAAGGAGAUACAGAAAAUUUCUGGGUAAGUCAAAUUGUUCUGGAAAAAGUAAGAAUUCUACCAAAAAGAAGACUGGAUGAACACCUGAGAUUAUACACUACAAGCAGAAGGAAAAAUGGCCCACUAUUGUGUGGCAAAGCAAUGGAUUGGCCAAGAAUCCCAAGAGGAGAGCUGUUUACCAGACUGGAUCCCCACCUCUGGAAGAUGAAGCCUCUGGAUAAUUCCAGCACUUGUAUUUCAUUGGGUUAUUCCAUGAGUAUUUAGCUUAACUCUGUGUCGGGCCCUAUUUAAGGACCUGGGGAUAUAGCAAUGAACAAAACAGACAAAAAUGCCUGACCUGACACAUGUUACAGUUUCAGGGAUAAUGAGACAGACAAUAGACCAAAUAAAUAAGUAGAAAUAUGUGAUUUUUUUGUAUAGUGUUAAGAGCUAUAGAUAAAAAAUUAUAUGGAAAAAGGAGACGGGGAAUGUCCAUGGUGGGGUUAUUGUUUUAAAUAGGAUGAUUCAAGAAAGCGUAACAGAGAGGGUGACUUUUUAGCAACAGUCUUGAGGAGAUGAGGAGGCAAGCCAUGUUGCUAUCAAGGAGAAGCACUCCUGGCAAAAGGCAGGCAGAUGCAAAAGCCCUAAGGUGAGGAGGUGCCUGGAAUGUUCGAGGGACAGUGUGGGUUAACGGGGAGGAGCAGGAGAUGAGUCAAUAAGUGGAUGCGCACAAGUGCCAGAAGGAAACCACUCUGCUUCAGUCCAAGCCGAUUCACCUGCAUUUUCAGCUUUCCCAGACAGCUUAUCACACAGGAAGUCACCAAACCCACCACUACCGGCACUAAAAGAAGGCACCUAUAAAGGACUUUCAGCUUUUUCUUAAGAUCCUCAUUUACUGCGAAAGCUUUCUCGUUAGUUGUGAGAAAAAUUACCCCAGAUUACUUCAAAACAUUAAAGUGCUGGAGAAAAACAAACCUGGCCAACUGGCACUUAAUACUGACAAAGUCCCCCAAUUUAUCAAUCAUGCUUUAAGGAAAUAGGGGUCAUAGCUGAAGAGCUCCAAGUAAUUACUAGUGAGGAUGCUGGACCAAGUGUUAAAUGGCCAAGAAAGCAAGAGAGUCACUGGGAAGAGAAGAAUGGUGGAUGUUUUUUGCUUAUCUUUCCUGCAUCUAUUACUCCUCCGCUGCCCUCCCCAGAGCUCUCAGUUUCUAUUUCCAAGUGCGAGUGUGCUCAGUUGUGUCCAGCUCUUUUUGUGACCCUAUCGGUUGUAGCCUGCCAAGUUCCUCUGUCCAGGGGAUUCUCCAGGCAAGAAUACUGGAGUGGGUUGCCA